This 492-nucleotide ribosomal RNA is filed under the name uncultured bacterium. RNAcentral describes it as "partial 16S ribosomal RNA". It matches the Rfam family "Bacterial small subunit ribosomal RNA", at positions 28 to 507 of the family's 1533-position model. The record is from RNAcentral.
GAUGAACGCUAGCUACAGGCUUAACACAUGCAAGUCGAGGGGAAACGGCAUUAAGUGCUUGCACUUUUUGGACGUCGACCGGCGCACGGGUGAGUAACGCGUAUCCAACCUUCCCAUGACUAAGGGAUAACCUGCCGAAAGGCAGACUAAUACCUUAUGGUCUUCACUGACGGCAUCAGAUGUGAAGUAAAGAUUUAUCGGUUAUGGAUGGGGAUGCGUCUGAUUAGCUUGUUGGCGGGGUAACGGCCCACCAAGGCAACGAUCAGUAGGGGUUCUGAGAGGAAGGUCCACCACAUUGGAACUGAGACACGGUCCAAACUCCUACGGGAGGCAGCAGUGAGGAAUAUUGGUCAAUGGGCGAGAGCCUGAACCAGCCAAGUAGCGUGCAGGAUGACGGCCCUAUGGGUUGUAAACUGCUUUUGUAUGGGGAUAAAGUCAAUCACGUGUGAUUGUUUGCAGGUACCAGACGAAUAAGGACCGGCUAAUUCCGUG